Molecule: ribosomal RNA, 301 nt
Filed under: uncultured bacterium
Lineage: Bacteria
Description: partial 16S ribosomal RNA
Rfam family: Bacterial small subunit ribosomal RNA
Source: RNAcentral
CAGUAGCCGCGGUAAUACGGAGGGUGCAAGCGUUAAUCGGAAUUACUGGGCGUAAAGCGCACGCAGGCGGUCUGACAAGUCAGAUGUGAAAUCCCCGGGCUUAACCUGGGAACUGCAUUUGAAACUGUCAGGCUGGAGUCUUGUAGAGGGGGGUAGAAUUCCAGGUGUAGCGGUGAAAUGCGUAGAGAUCUGGAGGAAUACCGGUGGCGAAGGCGGCCCCCUGGACAAAGACUGACGCUCAGGUGCGAAAGCGUGGGGAGCAAACAGGAUUAGAUACCCGUGUAGUCCCUGUCUCUUAUAU